This 76-nucleotide transfer RNA is filed under the name Clostridia bacterium. Its description in RNAcentral is "tRNA-Arg". It matches the Rfam family "tRNA". Rfam says of the family: Transfer RNA (tRNA) molecules are approximately 80 nucleotides in length. Their secondary structure includes four short double-helical elements and three loops (D, anti-codon, and T loops). Lineage: Bacteria; Bacillati; Bacillota; Clostridia. The record is from RNAcentral.
CCGCAUGUGGCGCAGAGGAUAACGCAGCAGAUUCCGAUUCUGAAGAGCAGGGGUUCAAGUCCCUUCAUGCGGGCCA